UUUCAAGUGUGCAUCGCUGGAAAACUGAU
RNAcentral lists this non-coding RNA (29 nucleotides) under Mus musculus (house mouse). The record is from RNAcentral. Lineage: Eukaryota; Metazoa; Chordata; Mammalia; Rodentia; Muridae.